This 464-nucleotide ribosomal RNA is filed under the name Vreelandella stevensii. RNAcentral's name for it is "partial 16S ribosomal RNA". It matches the Rfam family "Bacterial small subunit ribosomal RNA", at positions 339 to 795 of the family's 1533-position model. The record is from RNAcentral. Lineage: Bacteria; Pseudomonadati; Pseudomonadota; Gammaproteobacteria; Oceanospirillales; Halomonadaceae.
CCUCGGGUGGCUGCAGUGGGGAAUAUUGGACAAUGGGCGAAAGCCUGAUCCAGCCAUGCCGCGUGUGUGAAGAAGGCCUUCGGGUUGUAAAGCACUUUCAGUGGGGAAGAAAGCCUUGGGGCUAAUACCCUCGAGGAAGGACAUCACCCACAGAAGAAGCACCGGCUAACUCCGUGCCAGCAGCCGCGGUAAUACGGAGGGUGCGAGCGUUAAUCGGAAUUACUGGGCGUAAAGCGCGCGUAGGCGGUCUGAUAAGCCGGUUGUGAAAGCCCCGGGCUCAACCUGGGAACGGCAUCCGGAACUGUCAGGCUAGAGUGCAGGAGAGGAAGGUAGAAUUCCCGGUGUAGCGGUGAAAUGCGUAGAGAUCGGGAGGAAUACCAGUGGCGAAGGCGGCCUUCUGGACUGACACUGACGCUGAGGUGCGAAAGCGUGGGUAGCAAACAGGAUUAGAUACCCUAGUAGUC